UAAGUUCUGUGUUAUUGGGCAAGUAGAAUGCAAACAGUAUCCAGUAAGACAUUGUAGCAGAGGUUAUGAAGAGUUGAAGGUGAUUGUUAAAGUUCUGAUGGAAUUUAACGGGAGAGUGAUGUAAUGGAAUGUAUUUGCAAAGAUCAUUGUAGCAGCAGAAUUCUGAUAAGAUGGAGGAAAGAAAAGCCAGAGUGAAGCAGACCAUUAGCAGAUAAUUGUCAUAAUCUUGAUACUAAAUGGAGACCAGAAUUAAGGUUUAGGAAGCUUCAGCCUGUAAAUGGCAGUUGAAGCCAUACUUAUUGCUGAAAUUGCAUACAGUCAGAACACUGAAUACAGAAACUUGAAGAACAACAUCAUUUCAGUCAGGAGUACCAAAAAGAGCUUUUAAGAAAACGGAAGCAGAAAAUGGCAUAGAAGAAGCUGAACCUAAAAUAUUCAGUGAGUAAUAGUCUCCUGUGCUUUGAAGGGCACCAGCAGUGUAAGGAAGGCUAUUUGUAAGGGAUUUGGCAUUGUGCCUGUCAGUGACUUCAGUGAGUGACAGCAGGGUCAGUGGAGUGACAGGUAGUGAGGGCUUGUAGAUAAACCAGGUGAAGUCAGAAGGCAAAGGAUCCUUUGAUGUAGUCCAUUCAGAGCAGAAGGAGAAGAAUGCAGAGUGGAUCUGCAGGGACAAAUAGAAGAUGCAGCGCAAUGGAGAUACUGUUUAAUGCCGCAGGGGACCUGGGCUCUUUUCGUCUCUCCUAUGUAAAGAGAAUUUCCUCCAUCCAAGUAAAACUGAUGCGAUCGGUCAGCUUUCUAGACAACA
RNAcentral lists this long non-coding RNA (802 nucleotides) under Homo sapiens (human). Its description in RNAcentral is "HSALNT0133326". Lineage: Eukaryota; Metazoa; Chordata; Mammalia; Primates; Hominidae. The record is from RNAcentral.